Molecule: transfer RNA, 76 nt
Filed under: Pseudomonadota bacterium
Lineage: Bacteria; Pseudomonadati; Pseudomonadota
Also listed under: 1 other name
Description: Proteobacteria bacterium (cold seep metagenome) tRNA-Thr
Rfam family: tRNA
About the family: Transfer RNA (tRNA) molecules are approximately 80 nucleotides in length.
Source: RNAcentral
GCCGGCGUAGCUCAGUUGGUAGAGCGGCUGAUUUGUAAUCAGUAGGUCGCGGGUUCGACUCCUGCCGCCGGCUCCA